CCUACGGGAGGCAGCAGUGAGGAAUAUUGGUCAAUGGCCGCAGGGCUGAACCAGCCAAGUCGCGUGAGGGAUGACGGUCCUAUGGAUUGUAAACCUCUUUUGUCAGGGAGCAAAGGGCGCCACGUGUGGCGCUUUGCGAGUACCUGAAGAAAAGGCAUCGGCUAACUCCGUGCCAGCAGCCGCGGUAAUACGGAGGAUGCGAGCGUUAUCCGGAUUUAUUGGGUUUAAAGGGUGCGCAGGCGGAAUGUCAAGUCAGCGGUAAAAUUUCGGGGCUCAACCCCGUCGUGCCGUUGAAACUGGCGUUCUUGAGUGAGCGAGAAGUAUGCGGAAUGCGUGGUGUAGCGGUGAAAUGCAUAGAUAUCACGCAGAACUCCGAUUGCGAAGGCAGCAUACCGGCGCUCAACUGACGCUCAUGCACGAAAGCGUGGGUAUCGAACAGGAUUAGAUACCCCAGUAGUC
RNAcentral lists this ribosomal RNA (459 nucleotides) under uncultured bacterium. Its description in RNAcentral is "partial 16S ribosomal RNA". It matches the Rfam family "Bacterial small subunit ribosomal RNA", at positions 338 to 795 of the family's 1533-position model. The record is from RNAcentral.